This 468-nucleotide ribosomal RNA is filed under the name uncultured bacterium. RNAcentral describes it as "partial 16S ribosomal RNA". It matches the Rfam family "Bacterial small subunit ribosomal RNA", at positions 28 to 507 of the family's 1533-position model. The record is from RNAcentral.
GAUGAACGCUGGCGGCGUGCUUAACACAUGCAAGUCGAACGGAAAGGCCCUGCUUUUGUGGGGUGCUCGAGUGGCGAACGGGUGAGUAACACGUGAGUAACCUGCCCUUGACCUUGGGAUAACUUCAGGAAACUGGGGCUAAUACCGGAUAGGAGCUCCUGCUGCAUGGUGGGGGUUGGAAAGUUUCGGCGGUUGGGGAUGGACUCGCGGCUUAUCAGCUUGUUGGUGGGGUAGUGGCUUACCAAGGCUUUGACGGGUAGCCGGCCUGAGAGGGUGACCGGCCACAUUGGGACUGAGAUACGGCCCAGACUCCUACGGGAGGCAGCAGUGGGGAAUAUUGCACAAUGGGCGGAAGCCUGAUGCAGCAACGCCGCGUGCGGGAUGACGGCCUUCGGGUUGUAAACCGCUUUCGCCUGUGACGAAGCGUGAGUGACGGUAAUGGGUAAAGAAGCACCGGCUAACUACGUG